RNAcentral lists this ribosomal RNA (784 nucleotides) under Kirschsteiniothelia aethiops. Its description in RNAcentral is "partial large subunit ribosomal RNA". It matches the Rfam family "Eukaryotic large subunit ribosomal RNA", at positions 114 to 919 of the family's 3401-position model. Lineage: Eukaryota; Fungi; Ascomycota; Dothideomycetes; Kirschsteiniotheliales; Kirschsteiniotheliaceae. The record is from RNAcentral.
UUUGAAAUCUGGCCCCCUGGGGUCCGAGUUGUAAUUUGGAGAGGAUGCCUCGGUGGAGGCCCCGGCCGAAGUGCCUUUGAACGGGCCGUCAGAGAGGGUGAGAACCCCGUCCGCGGUCGCCGGCCCCCACCGUGUGAGGCUCCUUCGACGAGUCGAGUUGUUUGGGAAUGCAGCUCUAAAUGGGAGGUAAAUUCCUUCCAAGGCUAAAUAUCCGCCAGAGACCGAUAGCGCACAAGUAGAGUGAUCGAAAGGUGAAAAGCACUUUGAAAAGAGGGUGAAACAGCACGUGAAAUUGUUGAAAGGGAAGCGCUUGCAACCAGAGUCGUCCGCGGGGGCUCCACCGACCCUCGGGCCCGGUGUACUCCCCCGCGGCCGAGCCAGCAUCAGCUCGGCCGGUCGGAUAAAGGCCGUGGGAACGUGACACCCUCGGGUGUGUUAUAGCCCGCGGCACAAUACGGCCUGGCCGGGCUGAGGUCAGCGCCUUUGGCACGGAUGCUGGCGUAAUGGUUGUCAGCGGCCCGUCUUGAAACACGGACCAAGGAGUCUAACAUCUAUGCGAGUGUUCGGGUGUCAAACCCGUGAGCGGAAUGAAAGUGAACGGAGGUGGGAGCCCUCGGGCGCACCAUCGACCGAUCCGGAUGUCUUCGGAUGGAUUUGAGUAUGAGCAUAGCUGUUGGGACCCGAAAGAUGGUGAACUAUGCGUGAAUAGGGUGAAGCCAGAGGAAACUCUGGUGGAGGCUCGCAGCGGUUCUGACGUGCAAAUCGAUCGUCAAAUUUGCGCAUA